UACGACUACAUAUCAGGCAUAUCAAUAAGCGGAGGAAAAGAAACUAACUAGGAUUCCCUCAGUAACGGCGAGUGAAGCGGGAAGAGCUCAAAUUUGAAAUCUUCAAGGUUCUACCUUGACGAAUUGUAGUUUAAAGAAGUGUUUUCUGUUGGAGUUUUGGUAAAAGUUCUUUGGAAUAGGACAUCAUAGAGGGUGAGAAUCCCGUAUUUGACCAUUAUUUCCAGCUUUGUGAUACACUUUCAAAGAGUCGGAUUGUUUGGGAAUGCAGUCCAAAAUGGGUGGUAAAUUUCAUCUAAAGCUAAAUAUUAGCGAGAGACCGAUAGCGAACAAGUACCGUGAGGGAAAGAUGAAAAGAACUUUGAAAAGAGAGUUAAACAGUACGUGAAAUUGUCAAAAGGGAAGCGUUUGACACCAGUGUUGUUUCUACGAAAAUCAAUUUAUGAUGGCUUGAUGCUAAGCUUUAAGACUUUAUCCGCUUGUUGUUUAGUUUUCUUGUCUUUGUGAAUGCACUUUUCGUGGAACAAGUCAACAUCAAUUUCUUUUGCUGUAAAAGGGUAAGAGGAAGGUGGCUUCGGCUUCGGUUGAAGUGUUUAUAGCCUUUUAUCUCUGCAGUCGGAGAGAUUGAGGUCUGCAGCGUAGAUCCUUCGGGGUUAGAUACAUUUGUGCUAAGCUACAGCUUUUCAUAGACAACUUGUUGACUAUGUUUAGUCUUGUAACUUACCCGCUUAUGCUAUUUUACCUACGCUUAGGAUGUUGAGCGCAUGUCUCUCUCU
RNAcentral lists this ribosomal RNA (773 nucleotides) under uncultured Neocallimastigales. RNAcentral's name for it is "partial large subunit ribosomal RNA". It matches the Rfam family "Eukaryotic large subunit ribosomal RNA", at positions 24 to 642 of the family's 3401-position model. Lineage: Eukaryota; Fungi; Neocallimastigomycota; Neocallimastigomycetes; Neocallimastigales. The record is from RNAcentral.